AGAGUUUGAUCCUGGCUCAGAAUGAACGUUGGCGGCGUGGAUUAGGCAUGCAAGUCGAACGGGCCUGGUUGAAAGAUCAGGUCAGUGGCGUAAGGGUGAGUAAGGCGACGGCAACCAACCCCAUGGUUGGGCAUAGCCGCGGGAAACUGCGGGUAAUUCCCAGCGAUGUUCGUGCCGGGCAUCCGGCGUGAACCAAAGUUAAGGCGCCGUGGGACGGGCCGUCGUGGUAUUAGGUAGUUGGCGGGGUAAUGGCCCACCAAGCCUCUGAUGCCUACCGGGCGUGCGAGCGUGGCCCGGCACACUGGGACUGAGACACUGCCCAGACUCCUACGGGAGGCUGCAGUCGAGAAUCUUCGGCAAUGGGCGCAAGCCUGACCGAGCGACGCCGCGUGGAGGAUGAAGGCCUUCGGGUUGUAAACUCCUGUCGAGGGGGAGGAAGG
RNAcentral lists this ribosomal RNA (440 nucleotides) under uncultured bacterium. RNAcentral describes it as "bacterial SSU rRNA". It matches the Rfam family "Bacterial small subunit ribosomal RNA", at positions 8 to 451 of the family's 1533-position model. The record is from RNAcentral.